This is a long non-coding RNA of Bacillus rossius redtenbacheri, 568 nucleotides long. RefSeq lists it as uncharacterized. The record is from RefSeq and is a predicted model, not a curated record. Lineage: Eukaryota; Metazoa; Arthropoda; Insecta; Phasmatodea; Bacillidae. The transcript is spliced from 2 exons.
UCUGUUUUUGUCAGCCAUAAUGUAGACUUCAAAAUUUUUGUGCUCGUCACGUAUCCAUCGACAUCCAUGUCGAAAGUUGUGUAUUUACUACCGCAUUAGCGGUCCGGGUGUUGGCGACCUCUCGCUGCCCCAUGCCUGAGGCGUGAUCCAUAAGCUUCGCCCAUAACAUCUGGGCACCCCAGGGCUUGUCCCGUGGUUCUACGGCGAUGGGAGCCGCCAACAAAAAUCCCAGGAAAGUUUUCGACGACUAAAUCCUAAGCAUGCAGCAUGGGUAGUUAACCUGUUUCGGCCACGCAUAUCUUCUUGCAAUUUCAUCGACUAUUUCAUCAAACUAUUCCUUUGGCAUCGUAAUCAACAUUUAAUUCAUGAGCAAUAUUUUAAUACUUUCUGUAUCUUAAAUUUACGUUAAUUAUUUUGAAAAUGUAACUAAGUAAUAAUUAUUUUGAAGAAAUAACUAAGUAAUAAUAAUUUUUUUUGGGGCCCCAUUUUUGUUUUGACUGUACGAAUACUCAAUUAAUACUCUUUAUCGUGUUUUAAAUAAAUAUGUUUUGUUAUGGCUGACCCGAUA